AGGGGAGCUCCGUCCAUGACGGGGAUUUGUCGUGUGUACUUGUCAUGGAGUUGCUCUCUUGC
Molecule: microRNA precursor, 62 nt
Filed under: Petromyzon marinus (sea lamprey)
Lineage: Eukaryota; Metazoa; Chordata; Hyperoartia; Petromyzontiformes; Petromyzontidae
Description: Pma-Mir-281-P13_pre stem-loop
Source: RNAcentral